UACAGAGGUCCCAAGCGUUGUUCGGAUUCACUGGGCGUAAAGGGUGCGUAGGCGGUCGGGUCAGUCUGUCGUGAAAUCUCCGAGCUCAACUCGGAAACUGCGAUGGAUACUACUCGGCUAGAGGAAUGGAGGGGAGACUGGAAUUCUCGGUGUAGCAGUGAAAUGCGUAGAUAUCGAGAGGAACACCAGUGGCGAAGGCGAGUCUCUGGACAUUUCCUGACGCUGAGGCACGAAAGCCAGGGGAGCAAACGGG
Molecule: ribosomal RNA, 253 nt
Filed under: uncultured bacterium
Lineage: Bacteria
Description: partial 16S ribosomal RNA
Rfam family: Bacterial small subunit ribosomal RNA
Source: RNAcentral